AGCUCCAAUAGCGUAUAUUAAAAUUGUUGCGGUUAAAACGCUCGUAGUUGGAUAUCUGCCAAGGGGUCUCGGUCCUUCCCAGUGAAGAAUACGCGAGACUCUUCUUGGCAUUUGUUCAGGGAAGGCGUUUGCACUUUAUUGUGUUGCGCGUGAUCUGAAUUUUUACUUUGAGGAAAUGAGAGUGUUUCAAGCAGGCUUUUGCCGUGAAUAUGAUAGCAUGGAAUAAUAGCAUAGGACCCCUUUCCGAAGCUGUUGGUUUUUGGAACGAGGUAAUCAGAAUAAGGAUAGUUGGGGGUAUUCGUAUUUAACUGUCAGAGGUGAAAUUCUUGGAUUUUUUAAAGACGAACUAUUGCGAAGGCAUCUGCCCAGGAUGUUUUUGUUG
This 382-nucleotide ribosomal RNA is filed under the name Euduboscquella sp. Its description in RNAcentral is "partial small subunit ribosomal RNA". It matches the Rfam family "Eukaryotic small subunit ribosomal RNA", at positions 587 to 975 of the family's 1831-position model. The record is from RNAcentral. Lineage: Eukaryota; Dinophyceae; Syndiniales; Eudubosquellidae.